UUUGAGGAUAGGGAUUCUAACCAGAAGAAGGUACCACAGGUGUGACAAAGGGGAUAUGGACAUGGCAGUAGAGAACGGCCAGCAGAACUAAGGUUGUAUUUUAUUUCUGACUUAGUUCCCAUGAUGACUCAGGAAUUCUCUCACUCUUAAAGGAAAGAGGCUUGGCUUGACACCGUACUGCAAGUUUCGGAAGUUCCAGUGUCAGAUGUUGUUCCUAGAGGAGAGACACUCUGAGAACUUGUGAGAGUGAAAAAAUCGUCCCCACACAGGAGGACAUCAGCCGGAGGGUUCCCAGACAUUAGUAGUGUUAUAAUAGGAAAGUUCUGCAUGAAAUUGGCUCCUGGUGUGAAAUGCAAGACUUCAGGUUCAAAGAUACUAGUGAAAUACAGACCUUGUUUUAUUCAUUAACUCCUAUAAGCAAGUGCAACUAUUUAGCUAAACAAUCCAAGACCUAGCUUGACUGUUUGAUGUAUACACAGAAGGCUGAUUGUCCUUUCCUGAAACACAGAGAUGUUUGGGGAAAAGUCACAAAGUACACUGUGAAAAGCUGCAGAAUGUUCCAAGAUUCCUAGAAGAACUGGGCCAGCUCACCAAACAGAACCGACUCUUCUUUCAUUCUGCAGAAAACCUACCUUACCUUAACAAUUGUACAUCUACGCAGAGAAAAAGAACAAAAGGUUUCCAUGCUAAGAAAAACACCACCAUCUCCCCUUGUCUCAUGAAGACCAUUAGAGCUGGCUGAACUGGAAUGGAAAAAGCAAUAGCGUAUCAUCAUGGUUUUGUACUUAUAUGGAAUUGUUCCUUUGAGAAUUUCGAAGAG
Molecule: non-coding RNA, 820 nt
Organism: Delphinapterus leucas (beluga whale)
Lineage: Eukaryota; Metazoa; Chordata; Mammalia; Artiodactyla; Monodontidae
Source: RefSeq, a predicted model, not a curated record